This 253-nucleotide ribosomal RNA is filed under the name uncultured bacterium. RNAcentral describes it as "partial 16S ribosomal RNA". It matches the Rfam family "Bacterial small subunit ribosomal RNA", at positions 524 to 776 of the family's 1533-position model. The record is from RNAcentral.
UACGAAGGGGGCUAGCGUUGCUCGGAGUCACUGGGCGUAAAGCGCACGUAGGCGGAUUGUUAAGUCAGGGGUGAAAUCCUGGAGCUCAACUCCAGAACUGCCUUUGAUACUGGCGAUCUUGAGUCCGGGAGAGGUGAGUGGAACUCCGAGUGUAGAGGUGAAAUUCGUAGAUAUUCGGAAGAACACCAGUGGCGAAGGCGGCUCACUGGCCCGGUACUGACGCUGAUGUGCGAAAGCGUGGGGAGCAAACAGG